Molecule: ribosomal RNA, 424 nt
Filed under: uncultured bacterium
Lineage: Bacteria
Description: partial 16S ribosomal RNA
Rfam family: Bacterial small subunit ribosomal RNA
Source: RNAcentral
AAUUUUGGACAAUGGGCGCAAGCCUGAUCCAGCCAUGCCGCGUGAGUGAAGAAGGCCUUCGGGUUGGAAAGCUCUUUCGGACGGAAAGAAAUCGCGCAGGCUAAUACCCCGCCCGGAUGACGGUACCGUCAUAAGAAGCCCCGGCUAACUACGGGCAAGCCGCCGCGUCAAUACGUAGGGUGCGAGAGUUAACCGGAAUUCCUGGGCGUAAAGCGUGCGCAGGCGGUUGAUUAAGACAGGCGUGAAAUCACCGGGCUUAACCUGGGAACUGCGCUUGUGACUGGUCAGCUAGAGUACGGCAGAGGGGGGUGGAAUUCCACGUGUAGCAGUGAAAUGCGUAGAGAUGUGGAGGAACACAGAUGGCGAAGGCAGCCCCCUGGGCCGAUACUGACGCUCAUGCACGAAAGCGUGGGUAGCAAACAGG